This 404-nucleotide ribosomal RNA is filed under the name uncultured eukaryote. RNAcentral's name for it is "partial 18S ribosomal RNA". It matches the Rfam family "Eukaryotic small subunit ribosomal RNA", at positions 592 to 976 of the family's 1831-position model. The record is from RNAcentral.
CAAUAGCGUAUUCUAACGUUGCUGCAGUUAAAAGGCUCGUAGUCGAAGCUUUGGCUUUGUGGGCCUGGCCCCGUGCCAAGUCGCACGCGUGUUUGCCGGUUUGCCCACGAGCCAUCCCUCCUGGAGAGCGCCCCUGCCCUUGACUGGGUUUUUCCGGGCGGCGCGAUCCAGGUCGUUUACUGUGAGUAAAUCAGAGUGUUCAAAGCAGGCUUUUCGCAGCUUGUAUGCAUUAGCAUGGAAUAAUGAGAUAGGACUUGGGUCUUCUAUUUCGUUGGCUUUCAGGAACCAAGUAAUGAUGAAGAGGGAUAGUUGGGGGUGCUAGUAUUCAGUGGUCAGCGGUGAAAUGCAUGGACCCACUGAAGACUAACUCAUGCGAAAGCAUUCACCAAGGAUAUCUUCUUUGA